CAGCAGCCACGGGAAUACAGAGGGUGCGAGCGUUAAUCGGAUUUACUGGGCGUAAAGCGUGCGUAGGCGGCUUCUUAAGUCGGAUGUGAAAUCCCUGAGCUUAACUUAGGAAUUGCAUUCGAUACUGGGAAGCUAGAGUAUGGGAGAGGAUGGUAGAAUUCCAGGUGUAGCGGUGAAAUGCGUAGAGAUCUGGAGGAAUACCGAUGGCGAAGGCAGCCAUCUGGCCUAAUACUGACGCUGAGGUACGAAAGCAUGGGGAGCAAACAGGAUUAGAUACCCGGGUAGUCCCUGUCUCUUAUAU
Molecule: ribosomal RNA, 301 nt
Filed under: uncultured bacterium
Lineage: Bacteria
Description: partial 16S ribosomal RNA
Rfam family: Bacterial small subunit ribosomal RNA
Source: RNAcentral